Molecule: non-coding RNA, 29 nt
Filed under: Rattus norvegicus (Norway rat)
Lineage: Eukaryota; Metazoa; Chordata; Mammalia; Rodentia; Muridae
Source: RNAcentral
UCCACAUUACAGAAAAUGGCACCUGGAUU